CGACUCCCUCCCGGCAAAGGCUAACCACCAGUCGGAAGCAAGUCUUGCAUGGGGGACGGUAACGUACUUCGUGAAGCGUAGACAGCGGGUGCUGAAGCCGCGUGAUUGAGUCUCGAAAUACCUUUGUCGCUGGUGUCUUCGCCUUUGUUAUAGCGGGGGCAGUACCGGGCUGACCGUUACGGUGAGGUCAGUCGGGCCGGCCGGGAUCUGAGAGCG
RNAcentral lists this non-coding RNA (216 nucleotides) under Burkholderia sp. D7. Lineage: Bacteria; Pseudomonadati; Pseudomonadota; Betaproteobacteria; Burkholderiales; Burkholderiaceae. The record is from RNAcentral.